UGAAUACGAGAUGCUACGGCGUCGAAGCAGUGUAUGUCAGACUUCCAAGAAAAGCUCGCAAUGUCAUAAAUAAAGAAUGCCUGUACCAUAACCGACACAGGUGGGUAGGUAGAGUAUACUAAGGGGCGCGAGAUAACUCUCUCUAAGGAACUCGGCAAAAUAACUCCGUAACUUCGGGAGAAGGAGUGCCUUCUUUAAGAAGGUUGCAAUAACAAGAUCCAAGCAACUGUUUAUCAAAAACACAGGUCUCCGCUAAGUCGUAAGACGAUGUAUGGGGGCUGACGCCUGCCCAGUGCCAGAAGGUUAAAGAAGUUGGUUAGCUUUUGCGAAGCUGAUGACUGAAGCCCUGGUGAACGGCGACCGUAACUAUAACGGUCCUAAGGUAGCGAAAUUCCUUGUCGGGUAAGUUCCGACCCGCACGAAAGGCGUAAUGAUUUGGAUACUGUCUCGGAGAGGGACUCGGUGAAAUAGACUUGUCUGUGAAGAUGCGGACUACCUGCACCAGGACAGAAAGACCCUAUGAAGCUUUACUGUAACUUGAAAUUGAAAUUGGACUUUAUUUGCGCAGUAUAGGUGGAAGGCGUUGAAAGUAAUCUUGCGGGAUUAGUGGAGCCAUCAGUGAGAUACCACUCCUAUAAUGUUAGAUUUCUAACUUUGGAUCAUGAUCUGGUCAAAGAACAGUUUCAGGCGGGCAGUUUGACUGGGGCGGUCGCCUCCCAAAUGGUAACGGAGGCGUACAAAGGUUUCCUCUGAACGGGUAGAAAUCGUAUCUAGAGUGUAAAGGCAUAAGGAAGCUUGACUGUGAGACCUACAAGUCGAGCAGGGACGAAAGUCGGUCUUAGUGAUCUGACGGUGCUGAGUGGAAAGGCCGUCACUCAACGGAUAAAAGUUACUCUAGGAUAACAGGCUGAUCUCCCCCAAGAGUUCACAUCGACGGGGAGGUUUGGCACCUCGAUGUCGGCUCAUCGCAUCCUGGGGCGGUAGUACGUCCCAAGGGUUGGGCUGUUCGCCCAUGAAAGCGGUACGCGAGCUGGGUUCAGAACGUCGUGAGACAGUUCGGUCCAUAUCCGGUGUAGGCGUUAGAAUAUUGAGAGGAGCCUUCUUUAGUACGAGAGGACCGAGAAGGACAUACCUCUGGUGUACCAGUUAUCGUGCCAACGGUAAACGCUGGGUAGCUAUGUAUGGAGAGGAUAACCGCUGAAAGCAUCUAAGUGGGAAGCCCACCUCAAGAUGAGUAUUCUCAUC
Molecule: ribosomal RNA, 1245 nt
Filed under: metagenome
Description: bacterial LSU rRNA
Rfam family: Bacterial large subunit ribosomal RNA
Source: RNAcentral